RNAcentral lists this ribosomal RNA (1892 nucleotides) under Drosophila erecta. RNAcentral's name for it is "eukaryotic LSU rRNA". It matches the Rfam family "Eukaryotic large subunit ribosomal RNA", at positions 34 to 1917 of the family's 3401-position model. Lineage: Eukaryota; Metazoa; Arthropoda; Insecta; Diptera; Drosophilidae. The record is from RNAcentral.
GUUAGCAUAUUAAUUAGGGGAGGAAAAGAAACUAACAAGGAUUAUCUUAGUAGCGUCAAGCGCAAAGAAAACAGUUUAGCACUAAGUCACUUUGUCUACACGGCAAAUGUGAGAUGCAGUGUAUGGAGCGUCAAUAUUCUAGUAUGAGAAAUUAACGAUUUAAUUAACGUAUAAAGUUAAUGAUUACUAGAUGAUAUUUCCAAAGAGUCGUGUUGCUUGAAAGUGCAGCACUAAGUGGGUGGUAAACUCCAUCUAAAACUAAAUAUAACCAUGAGACCGAUAGUAAACAAGUACCGUGAGGGAAAGUUGAAGAGAACUCUGGAUAGAGAGUUAAACAGUACGUGAGACUGCUUAGAGGUUAAGCCGGAUGAACCUGAAUAUCCGUUAUGGAAAAUUCAUCAUUAAAAUUGUAAUAUUUAAAUAAUAUUAUGAGGAUAGUGUAACAGACAUUGUAAUCUAUUAGCAUAUACCAAAUGAUUAUCAUUGAUUUUUUUGUUUAUUAUAUGCACUUGUAUGAUUAACAAUGCGAAAGCUUCAGGAUACCUUCGGGACCCGUCUUGAAACACGGACCAAGGAGUCUAGCAUAUGUGCAAGUUAUUGGGAUAUAAACCUAAUAGCGUAAUUAACUUGAUUAAUAAUGGGAUUAGUUUUUUAACUAUUUAUAGCUAAUUAACACAUUCCCGGGGCGUUCUAUAUAGUUAUGUAUAAUGUAUAUUUAUAUUAUUUAUGCCUCUAACUGGAACGUAUCAUACUUGAUCAGGUUGAAGUCAGGGGAAACCCUGAUGGAAGACCGAAACAGUUCUUGCAAAUCGAUUGUCAGAAUUGAGUAUAGGGGCGAAAGACCAAUUGAACCAUCUAGUAGCUGGUUCCUUCCAAAGUUUCCCUCAGGAUAGCUGGUGCAUUUUAAUAUUAUAUAAAAUAAUCUUAUCUGGUAAAGCGAAUGAUUAGAGGCCUUAGGGUCGAAACGAUCUUAACCUAUUCUCAAACUUUAAAUAGGUAAGAACCUUAACUUUCUUGAUAUGAAGUUCAAGGUUAUGAUAUAAUGUGCCCAGUGGGCCACUUUUGGUAAGCAGAACUGGCGCUGUGGGAUGAACCAAACGUAAUGUUACGGUGCCCAAAUUAACAACUCAUGCAGAUACCAUGAAAGGCGUUGGUUGCUUAAAACAGCAGGACGGUGAUCAUAGAAGUCGAAAUCCGCUAAGGACUGUGUAACAACUCACCUGCCGAAGCAACUAGCCCUUAAAAUGGAUGGCGCUUAAGUUUUAUACCUAUACGUUACCGCUAAAGUAGAUGAUUUAUAUUACUUGUGAUAUAAAUUUUGAAACUUUAGUGAGUAGGAAGGUACAAUGGUAUGCGUAGAAGUGUUUGGCGUAAGCCUGCAUGGAGCUGCCAUUGGUACAGAUCUUGGUGGUAGUAGCAGAUAAUCGAAUGAGACCUUGGAGGACUGAAGUGGAGAAGGGUUUCGUGUGAACAGUGGUUGAUCACGAGUUAGUCGGUCCUAAGUUCAAGGCGAAAGCCGAAAAUUUUCAAGUAAAACAAAAAUGCCAAAUUAUAUAAAAAAAGCGAAAAUAAUACACUUGAAUAAUUUUGAACGAAAGGGAAUACGGUUCCAAUUCCGUAACCUGUUAUUAAAUAUGGGCCUCGUGCUCAUCCUGGCAACAGGAACGACCAUAUAGAAGCCGUCGAGAGAUAUCGGAAGAGUUUUCUUUUCCGUCUUAUAGCCGUACUACCAUGGAAGUCUUUCGCAGAGAGAUAUCGAUAUUUUCUCCUCGGACCUUGAAAAUUUAUGGUGGGGACACGCAAACUUCUCAAAAGGCCGUACCAAUAUCCGCAGCUGGUCUCCAAGGUGAAGAGUCUCUAGUCGAUAGAAUAAUGUAGGUAAGGGAAGUCGG